CCCUCCUCUCCACUCUUCUCCCCUCCUCCUACUCCUGCCUCCUGCUACUCACUGUUCUUGAGACUGGCAGACAGAGGUCCUGAUAACAGAAUGAGGCUGGAAUAGCAAUGUAGGUACAGCCACAGCUGAGCCAGCUGAAGGGGAAGAGGAGAGAGCACAGACUUGCACAGAUGGCUUUGGACUUGGACUUACCUCCGUUCCGGCUCAGCCUCCCUCCCCCAGCUAGGGAAGUGGAACCACCUCACGUCACAGGGUGUGCCUGGACCAUGUGCUCUGCCAGGUGUGUGCCCAGGUACUGGGUAGAACUGCCAUUCAGUGGUUAGUGGAUGCGCCCUGGCUUCCUGGUGCCCACUUCAGGAUGUGCUCCGGGUAGGGCGUCUGACUUGGUGAAGUGCUCAGUACUCUGAGAUGCUCUGUCCUCCCAGGGAGGAGCAUAGACCACUGGAGGAGCUCCUGGGACCCAGUGAGCAGACAUGAGGUCCUGUAAGCGUGGCACCUGGUAGGACACUGUGUCUGUUACUUCUUGGCAGCUGAAGGAGGGGUGACCAGGUCUUCCUGCCGGGGGUUGGGAAGCUGGGCUCUGGGGCAUCUCUGCACUAACCUCCAAAGUCAGAUCUCCCCCGAGGCUGAAGUUACACUUCCGAGUCUGUCCUAACAGAGCCAAGUAGAUGACAAGGGAGUGGCGUUCGUGGUUUUUCUUUGGACCACAUUGGUUUGGGCCGGUGAACUGUGUGGUGGGCAUUGUGUGUGUGUGAUAGACCAUAGGCGUGCUCACUUUUCCUCUCAUGGAGCGCAAUAGCUUCCUUGAAAGUAGUUCAGGGCUGUGCCCAUCCUCCCAUCUGCCAGAGGAACCCGGAACUCCGUGCUCCAGCCUUCACUCCAUCCUUCCUCCUCCCCUAUCUCCCCACUGUCUCCAGCUGCCCCCAUUUCCCGUGUUACCCCAGAGGCAGGACAAACAGGGAGCAUCCUCUCCAUCCAGCCAUCCCGACCCAGGCCCUCCCUGCCCUGUACAGAGUCUGGGAGCUUUUGAGACCCAGGUUUUGGUCAGUAAUUUGGAGGAAAGGAUAGAAAAACUGACUUUCAAGGAGUUCAAUUGCCUAGGAACAUGGGCUUCUGUACCUGUGACCCAGGGGAAGCCCAAAGAGCUGAUACUGGGUCCACUGGGGCUUUGGAAGGCUGUGACUUCUCUCCCUGUUACCUGAGUCGGCACUUGAGGGGGCCCACCACCUCUAAAGGAUGCUGUUCCCACUUUAGGAUUUAGGGCCUAGGACAUAAGGUGGUGCCUGAAUGCUGACCGCUUCUUCUGGGGGCUUCAGGCCAGCCAGCCAUGUUCCUCCACCCAUGGUCCCUCAACACACGUAUCCUUCAUUUUAUCACCCUUUCCUCUGAUUCAUUAACCGCAGCUAGUUGGCAGCAGGCCCUUCUCUGACAGCUAAAGACAAAAUGUCCAGGACACUGGGUCUGGGUUGGAGUUGAGACUGACAGGAAGCUUUCAGUCCACACAACAAUGGUCUGGGACUGUCUUGAGGGCAGGACGUUCCCCUUUUUUCAAAAAGGCCUUCUAGGCCCCCUUUCACCAAGUGAGUUCUUCCUCAUUGCCUGGAACCCUGAAACCAGCAUUCCCAGAGGCUAGAAGAUGGACGCUUGGGGCUCAGCUUCCGGCAUCCUCCCCCACUCUGGCUGGAACUUGCAUCAGUCACGUAAGUAGCUGUGACUCAGCAUCCAGCGCUGGGUCAGGAGGGAGAAGCUGCUGCCUUGGCAGGAACCUUCCCACGUUCUGCAUUUGAACACAUUGUGGUAGCACAGCGCGGGUACCGGGUUCAGCCGGUUCGUGUGUAUAUAUUUUACAAACAGGUUCCCUCUCCUUCCCAUUUUCCCCCCAUGUUAUUUUUUGGGCACCGUGCUGGGCUCAAAAUAAGAUAUUUAGGACUUUAAAACUCAGCAUCAUUUAUAGAAUGAAAUAGAAGCUGUCUUUGUGAUCUUUUGACUGUUCUUAGCCAGUGGCCCAUGAAGUGUGUUUAACCCUCAGCUCUGUUUAGUUUGGCCUGCAUUUUUUUUUUUUUUUUUAAUGUAUCUGAUUUUGUAUGCCUCUAGACAUAACGUGGCCUCUCCAGGCCACUAUCUCUGCUGCACGUUGUUGCUGCCUCUGUCUUUCUGUGUCCUGCCCAAGCCCUCUGAGCAUUUGCAUGUAUGGUGAUCAGUCUUCCCAGGCUGCCUCUGGACAGAUGAAGACACUGAGGCCCAUUCAGGGCAAGUGGCCGGUUCUUGUUCUCAGAUUUUAUGCCUGGCAGGCGUUCUCCUUCCCUGGGUGCUGACCUUUCCUCCGCCCUCGGGUCCCUUACCCGGCAGAAGAAUGUUCUGGAAGGUAGAAAAGCCUCUAGAUAGAAUGUGAGCGUGACAACAGACUGGGGCUGGAGUGGGGCUCCCCAGACCUUUAACCUGUCAGUGUCACAUCAGGGCUAUAUACCUACUCCUGGUGGGUGAGUAAUUUUCCUUCCUAGAUAAUCUCACUAAGACCUUCGACAAGGCCAAUUUGCUUGGGCCUAUUAGGCCGAAGCAAGAGAAUCCCAUGUCUCUCAUUGGAUGGCAGAGCCCCUAGGAAGAUGGUGAUUUCAUCGGCUGCCUUCUUCUAGAUCUAGGUGGCCCUCAGGCUCACUGCCAGGAAGAUCGAGCCCCUGCCAGCCCUUAUCAAAUCACCCAGCUACUCCCAGCUAGCACAGAACCACCAGCUUGUUUCAGAGAAGAAUCAUUGCCCACCUGACUUUUAGAAGAAAGAACUCUGCUUCCAUUGAGAGGUCUGUGACCUGAAUGACCCUUUCACCUCCUGGGAUUGAAAAGGCAAAAGUAGAAGACAUUUCUCCUCAGGGUGGAGGCCGGGUCUUCCCAUCGCAUCUCCCUGCCUUCUUCGGUGAGAUCCUCUUCUUCUGGAAGCUGGUUUCACAUGGUGGCUUAGAUUUUUCCAUCUUUGUAUCUAGCACCAUUUGAAAUCAGUGUUUUAGGAGUAAGAAUUGCAGCUCUGCAAAGGAUGGACUGGAGAGGAGCUGCUGCUCAAGGGACUGACUCUUUUCGCUGCUUGAGCCUGUUCAAGAAGUCAAGGGAAGAUUUGGAAAGCAAAAGUCACUCAAGAAGAUGUUGGAUGUGGGCGGGGCCACAGCAGGAGUCGGGGGCGUGGCUUGUGUUUACUGUAAAUGCAGUAGCUUGAGCAGGGCACAGCCCACCACUAGCACCUGUCUCUAGCAUCACUGAAUUGGUAGGGCCUCUGAGUGCAGUGAUUGUGCUGUUCAGAUGGGUGAUGAUGUAUUGGGUGUCGACUGUAACAGGGAAGGGCAGAGGGCUGUAUACCUGGAGGACUGUCACCUCAGCACUGCCCACAUGCUCCUGGAGGAUGCCCUGGAGUAUUCCGCUGGAAUCAGAUUUGCCACCUGCAGAGGUGCAGACCCGAGGAGCACUACUGGCCCAUCUCUUACACAGGCUGACCGAUUUCUCCUGGUGUUCAGAGUCUGUUUUUGUCUAGCACCAUUUGAAAUCGGUUAUGAUGUAGGGGGAAAAGCAGCAACCUCACAGCCUCAUGCCAAGUCUGGUCAGCAGCAGCCUGUGGUUUCCUGGAAGAUGGAUGGGCAGAGAGUGGGGAAGGAAGAUCACACUUUCCCUGCUAACUUCUUUAGCUGCAUUCAUGAUAUGUUAUUGCAGAGGUAAGAGGUAAUUCAGUGGAUUUUUAAAAACAAAUCACUAUAAUUUAUAUGAUGUCCUCAGUUGCAUUUUCUGAAAUGUAAUAUUGCUGUGAAUUGUGUAAAUUGGUUGCCGUUGAAUUAUCUUUCUGCUAAGUAGUCUGUUCAUGCAUCCUGACUUUAAUAAAUAAUUUCAUAUAUUCAAUUUA
Marmota flaviventris (yellow-bellied marmot) is the source of this 3877-nucleotide non-coding RNA. Lineage: Eukaryota; Metazoa; Chordata; Mammalia; Rodentia; Sciuridae. The record is from RefSeq and is a predicted model, not a curated record.